This 586-nucleotide long non-coding RNA is filed under the name Ananas comosus (pineapple). RNAcentral's name for it is "long non-coding RNA (ACOM_LNC040502)". Lineage: Eukaryota; Viridiplantae; Streptophyta; Magnoliopsida; Poales; Bromeliaceae. The record is from RNAcentral.
AAUAGUUUCAAAUAAUACAACUUAGCCUUCAACAGUAUAACUUAAUCUCAUUACCAACUAGCUUGCAGUACAACUUAGUCAGACAUAGAGGAGGUCUCCUUUAAAAAUAUGUAUAAAAAAACUUAUUUGAACUAUAAACUAUUUUGGAUCGACUAUCCAACAUUUCAAAAUUUUGAUUUUACUAUUCAAUCUUUCAAUUUGUUUAAUUUGAGUCAGUUAAUAAUACUUUGACUUUAAAAUUUAUGCUAAUUACUUAUUUUAAUAAAUUUAUAGUUGAAAUAAUUGCAUGAAAUAUAUUAACUAAAUCUGUAAGUAUAAAUGACAUAUUCAUAAAAAUUUUAAAAAAUCAGAGGGAUAAAGUGCAAAAGUGGAUAGAUGAGAUUUUUCUACAUUUUAAGACUUCGUUUGGUAUUGCGGAAAAAUUACGUUACGUACGAUGAGAAAAUAUAAUGAGAAAUACCAUAUUUGUUCUCGUACGUAAUAUUGCAUUCUGCAUAUUAGAUGAAUUAAUUAUGAUAUAUUCUCUGACCUCAAUACCAAACUAAACCUAAGCCCUUGAAAAUCUAAUGCUCGAAUACGAGAGAAA